GGCAGAGACACAGGAGGAGGGAGAAGCAGGCUCCAUGCCGGGAGCCCGACGUGGGACUCGAUCCCAGGACUCCAGGAUUGUGCCCUGGGCCAAAGGCAGGCGCUAAACCGCUGAGCCACCCAGGGAUAUCUGUGACACUUGAUCCUGAUCCUGAAGACUUGGUAGCUCUUUACCCUUGUCCACCAUGUUCUUGGAAGGUCAUUAGUGGGUCUUUUUGCCCUUCAUCUUCUUAUUGGAUUCCCCCAGCACAGAACUCUGGCAGGAAACUGAAAGAAGGGAGAAGAGUGAGGUCAAAGCAUUUGCUUUGUUGGCUCCUUCCACAAGAAGUCAUCUGGGAUUGGCUGCUUCCCCCAGCUGAGGGUCAUUGGGACUCUAAACCUGGCCAAGUCAACUUGUCCUUUAAGGAUCAGGUGUGUUAUGGGAUGUAUGAUUCUGGAAAGCUGGCCUGGAGCGAGAUUGAUGUGGACCUUGGAUUCUCUGCCAGGGGUUUUGAACUUUUUGCUGCUGAGAAGAGGAGCCAUUAAAGGACAAAUUGAAGAUCAUUAAGAACUUCUUCUCCCUCCGAUGAGUCCUUCUGCCUCAAUGUGCCAUGAGGCUAUCGUAUUUGCCUCCCUCUGUGUGCACAGUUGAUGAGCAUAUCACACAGUAGAGGCUAAAGUGGCCACAAGAGGCUGCGUUGAGGUUGCUGGAGAAGAGAGAAGCACACGGCCAGAGAGAAGGUUCAUGGGAUGUCCACUAUUUAGAUGCCUGAAUUCAGAGUUAGCCAUGUCUUGGCUCUUGGCAAUUCCUAAGGAAAUUCUGGAUGACGACCCUUGGAAGACUUUCUGGCCCAGGAGGGGCACCCGAGAGCAAAAAACGAGAGAGCCGAGUUUUAUCGGCCAGGCGGCCCGUGCUUAAAGGUGACAUUCGAGAGAACAAUCGCUAGGUUGUUUGGUCACCUUUGCUGGUAUGAAUGAAGCUUAAGAAAAGCUGUCUUUGGAUUGCUACUAAUAGUCAUCUUCAUCAUGCCUGCUCUCCCUCUCUCUCUCCCUCUCCCUCGCCCUCUCUCUCUCUCUCUCUCUCUCUUUCUCGGUUCCCUUAUGAAAUAAAGGCACACAGGUAAUAAACAAAGCACUAUAAAAGAUCAGAUUGACGUGUUCUGUGGCUCAUUCAAUGUCAGGAGCAAGCCUCCUGCGCUCCGCUGCUAGUGCUUGCGGCACCAAAAGCUGGGCCAGGACCGAGGGAUGGUGGUGGGAUGAGGCUAGACCCCCUUCACCCAUCCUGGAACCUUGCUGAAUUCAUCAGGGCCAUGGCCUGGGUCCGCUAACCCACACCUGACGCCCGAGGGACAAAGGACAAGAUGGCAGGGUAGAGACCCUUGGAUUUGCUCCUUUUGGAUUUUUGGAUUCGGACCUGACUUUCUUUGUCAAUCCUCAUGCCCGAUCCAGUGGUCAAAGAAGGAGGAGACUCAACAGCUGUUUCUUUCUCCCUUCAUUUUUCCAACAAAGAAGCUUCAUGAGAACAUUAACACCGAAAGAAAAUUGUGUUCACUGCAGGACUUUUCAAGGAUCGGUGGAAAGAUUUAUGUAAACAAAUUAUUCAGUUCUUCCUUUGGUGACCUUGGUCCUAAGAGUGAAUGAGAUGAUCCUAUGGCUUUUUGCCCUUUCCUCAAUACAGAAGCUGCAGACUGCGCUCAGCAAGACCUCACCAAAUGGAGGAAAAUUAAAGAGAGAAAUGGUCCAUGGUGUAUUCUUAACCGCCAUAAAUUGGCGUCAUUUUGGCCACCAUCCAGGAGAGAGACACCAGCCUACAGAAACAGAGAAAGAAGAUCAGAAGCCGAUGGAAGGAAGGGAGAUGCGACUUCGCUGGGGAAGAGAGGACUAUCCUCUGCUCCCAUCGCUCACUCACUGAACAACAUUACCCAGCACCUACGUUGAGUGGAAUAAGGCGGGCCACUGUCUUCCAAAGCUUUUAGCGUCAGCCUCCAUGAACAGUGGCUCGACAUCUCUGCAGCAUCAGCCCAGAUGUUGGCUUCUGCCCCAACCAAAGCAUGAUGACCAGGAAGGUGACAUGUCCCCAGCCAGCCAGUCACCACCAGGACCUGCUGCUCCCUCCUUUAUUACUAGGGCUCUGGGGGUGUGGGGGCGGGGUGUGGAAAAUCAGCAAACCUGACUGGUUCAAAUGGAUUUCCACUCUUUACAUUCAAGCAUUUUGGGUUUGAGGAAACCCCAAACAUUUUGAGCCCUGGGCACUUUUUCCAUUAAUUUUUUAAACUGAUGUGUAUGUCAAGGGAAAUUUAAUACGUCGGUUUCUGAUUCAUUUACACUUAACUCUUCAAAAUAUUGUUCUGUAAGAGGCAUUCGGUGUCCAAGAAAUCUUAAGAGCCUUUUUAUAAGCUUUUAAACUUCUUUUAAAUGUUUAAGAAACAGAAGUUGCAGUCUCCCCAAUGUAAACAGGAGGGAAUCCCUGGUGGCAGGGAGGGAAGAAAGGAGGGAGGAGGGAGGUGGAAGGAAGGCGCCCAGACAUACUGACCUCAGUCCCUGAGGGACACCAGCCCAGGCCCGGUGCUCGCAACCCCCUCCUGGUGCUCCAUGCCUCACCCACAGUCGGGGGAACAAUUGCUUCCACCUUCUUGAAUCCUGAAGGCAAAGGCAAACUCUUGUAGGGGUCCCGCUGUUGGCAGAGAAAGCUCCCAAGUGUUCUCUGCAGAAGAAGGCUACAGACUCCAAGAUUUUACUUCCAGGCAAGACCCUUUUUUUCCCUUCAAAGAAAGUGCUCAUAAUGUGUCCUUUCAUUUAUAAUUUUAUGAACGUCUCAAUUGAACAUGUAAAGAAAGUGGAAAAAUUCGAAGUUGCCAUGGAUGUUUGGCAUUCUUCCUCACUCUGCUAAAAUCUACUUUCUCCCCCAAGCGAAAUGGUUUCAGAGAUUCCCAUAAAAGGGGGAGGAGAGCAGUGAGGGCGGCCGUCUGGAAUCAGGGUCUUCAUGAAAAUACAUUUGUAUUUUAAUUAUAUGAGUAUGAUCUGCUUAGGUUUUCACCCUAUUUCACUUGGCUUUCUAUGUUAAAAGCAAGCGUUACAUUUCAUAAUGCCCGUAACUUCCGUAAACAGGCACUCGUGUAUUUUAUCUUGUUUUGCCAACUGGCUCUACCAAGCGGUAGAUGUUGUAGAAUCCAGCAUCUUUUGUACAGUUUCAUUUGUUUGUUGCGUAUUGUUUUUAUUUUUCCACUUUUCUAAAAAAGAGAGAGAGAGAGAGAGAAAACUCAGAAUAGAAGAAUUCUCAGUGAUAAAAAUUUUGUUCUGUUUUUGGAUUUUUUUAAAAUUCUCAUAGUUUCUAGGAAAUAACAGAAAGCAUUCAUAUUCAGAAAAGGAAAAAUGUUAGCACUUCUCUUGAGAUUCACCAAAUAUAUUAAGUGAGCUUUGUUGUUGUUGGUAUCAGCAAUAUCUGUUUUUCUUCUGCCUUGUUUUAAACAGAUUCAGGCCCUCUGAAAACUGAUGUUUUACUCACAUUGAGAUAUAUUUUCUUUUAUUCUCUUAGGUGAUUUCAGGGGCAGAGACCAAGAUCAUGCAGAUGCUGUAGGAGUUGGUGGUAUUGUAGCGAGUCAACAAAUAAAGGAGGAGAGAGAUUAAGCCAGGCAAAACCCUUAUCACGAGAGUGCAGGAUGAAUGUGUUUUGGGAAUGCCAUGCCUUACCUCGGGCUCCAGUGCCAAUAUAGAUCCUGUGUGCUCAUCCUUUGCAAGGACCUUUCUAACAGAACCUCUUAGGGGAAACCUGGGUGGCUCACCGUUUGGGCAUCUGCCUUUGGCGCUCGGGGCAUGAUCCCAGAGUCCCAGGAUCGAGUCCUGCAUUGGGGUCCCUGCAUGGAGCCUGCUUUUCCCUCUGCCUGUGUCUCUGCCUCUCUCUGUGUGUCUCUCAUGAAUAAAUAAAUAAAAUCUUUUUUUAAAAAAAUAAAUAAUAGAGCCUCUUAGGAUACCUAUUUCUCAACCUGAUCAAAUGCAUGUUGCUGUAUGUAUGUCCAGCCUCAUGGGUAAGGAAUUUCUGACACUUCUGUGCUGUCUGAUGGAUAUAUGGAUAUUUUUGAGGAUAUUGGAUUGAGAAAUUCUUCCAGGAGUUCCAAAAGGAACAUGAAAAACAUCCUUCCAAAAAGCAGAGUGGAUUUCUGGGCACGUUAGGAUAGUUAUCUCUCACUUAUUACUUAAAUGUCUUUCUUUUAAGUAAAAUUUCAAAUAGCAUCAUUAUUUUUAUAGUCCCUCCAAGUAUGCUGUAGUUUAUUGUACUGUUAAAUUUUUGGCGUUCUUCUCACUUUUCUUCUGUUGAGGAAAAGCUAGUAUAAAUUUUGUAUCUUUAUAAUUACUUCUGAAUUUUUAAACUCUUUUGAAUAUGUACAAAGCCUAGGGUGUGCCUCUUACUACGACAAAGUAUCAGUAAUACAAUCACCAAUGUCACAUACUUGCGGCUUGAUUUAUCAGUUGACAAAGGAAAUUCUUGUCAAUGGAGAAACACAUAUGUUCAGCAAGGUUCUCUAUUUACUUAAUUUUGAAUCAAAGUUUCUGUAAAAAGAAAAUUCAACUGAUGUUAAAAGAGCUGACACUUAUUGAAUAAUUACUUUCUGUUAGAUUUGUGAUCAUUCCAUUUAACUGACAAGUGCUCCAUUUCAUACCUGAAAAAACUGUGGUUCUUAAAGAAGUCACUUGAGGGGCACCUGGUGGCUCAGCUGGUUGAGCAUCUGGCUCUUGGUUUUGACUCAAGUCAUGAUCUCAGGGUUGCGGGAUCGAGCCUUGGGUUGUGCUCCAUGCUCAGAGGGGUUUGCUUCUCUCUCCUUCUACCCCUGCACCUUCCCUGUCUAAGAGAAAUUUUAAAAGAUAAAGAAGUCCCUUGAUGCAAAUUAUCAAUUAGACCAAUACAGCUGCUUGCAGUGCCAGGUUAAUUGAUGUUGUCUGGAUAAUCUCUUUAUGAUGUGUUAAUGACCCAGUAUCUGAACAGGGACCUCUGGAUCAAAAACAUGUAACAGAGAUGUUCACAAUUUCUUUGUCAUAGAAUUUUGUUUAAGUUUAUAUGAAUAGCUUUUAUACCCAGAGGCAUGUUUGUUCAGUUUUGUUGUAUAUGUAUAUUUUUAGUUGUUACUUGUUUGCUGAUUCACUUACUCAAGGAAUGCUGACUAUUGGCUUGAUAAGGCAGGAAAUAGAAAGGUAAAAAAGGCCAAAAAAAAAGACUCGAUAAGGGUUUUGCCUGGUUUAAUCUCUCUCCUACUUUAUUUUUUGACUCACUACAAUAUCACCAACUCCUACAGCAUCUGCAUGAUCUUGGUCUUUGCCCCUGAAAUCACCUAAGAGAAUAAAAGAUAAUAUAUCUCAAUGUGAGUAAUACAUCAGUCUUCAGAGGGCCUGAAUCUUUUUAAAACAAGGCAGGAGAAAAACAGAUAUUGCUGAUACCAACAACAACAAAAUUGGCUUUGAGUGUAUAAUCUAGUAGGGGAGAUACAGAGAGAAAUAAUUAGAAAACUAUGUAAGAAGUUCUGAUGUGGGUAUUUUGCAAAAACACUUAGCUUGAUCUGAUGUCUCCUUUCUUCCUUCCUUUCUCUUUCUUUCUUUCUUUCUUCCUUCCUUCCUUUCUCUUUCUUUCUUUCUUUCUUUCUUUCUUUCUUUCUUUCUUUCUUUCUUUCUUCUUUCU
Canis lupus familiaris (dog) is the source of this 5646-nucleotide long non-coding RNA. RefSeq lists it as uncharacterized. The record is from RefSeq and is a predicted model, not a curated record. The transcript has 8 exons. NCBI's taxonomy places the organism in Eukaryota, Metazoa, Chordata, Mammalia, Carnivora, Canidae.